CCUACGGGUGGCAGCAGUGAGGAAUAUUGGUCAAUGGGCGCGAGCCUGAACCAGCCAAGUCGCGUGAGGGAAGAAGGUCCUAUGGAUUGUAAACCUCUUUUGUCGGGGAGCAAAAGACGCCACGCGUGGCGUUCCGAGAGUACCCGAAGAAAAAGCAUCGGCUAACUCCGUGCCAGCAGCCGCGGUAAUACGGAGGAUGCGAGCGUUAUCCGGAUUUACUGGGUGUAAAGGGAGCGUAGACGGUGCGCCGAGUCUGGAGGGAAAGGCCGCAGCCUAACUCCGGAACUGCUGUGGAAACUGGCGAACGAGAGUGGGAGAGGGGUAAGCGGAAUGCGUGGGGUAGCGGUGAAAUGCGUAGAUAUUAGGAGGAACACCGGUGGCGAAGGCAGCAUACUGGACCGUAACUGACGUUGAGGCUCGAAAGCGUGGGGAGCGAACAGGAUUAGAUACCCCGGUAGUC
This 460-nucleotide ribosomal RNA is filed under the name uncultured bacterium. RNAcentral's name for it is "partial 16S ribosomal RNA". It matches the Rfam family "Bacterial small subunit ribosomal RNA", at positions 338 to 795 of the family's 1533-position model. The record is from RNAcentral.